RNAcentral lists this ribosomal RNA (403 nucleotides) under Fusobacteriota bacterium. RNAcentral describes it as "Fusobacteria bacterium partial 16S ribosomal RNA". It matches the Rfam family "Bacterial small subunit ribosomal RNA", at positions 355 to 776 of the family's 1533-position model. Lineage: Bacteria; Fusobacteriati; Fusobacteriota. The record is from RNAcentral.
UGGGGAAUAUUGCACAAUGGGGGAAACCCUGAUGCAGCGACGCCGCGUGAGCGAAGAAGGUCUUCGAAUCGUAAAGCUCUGUCCUAUGGGAAGAUAAUGACGGUACCAUAGGAGGAAGCCCCGGCUAACUACGUGCCAGCAGCCGCGGUAAUACGUAGGGGGCAAGCGUUGUCCGGAAUCACUGGGCGUAAAGGGUUCGCAGGCGGAAAUGCAAGUCAGUUGUGAAAGGCAGAGGCUCAACCUCUGUAAGCAAUUGAAACUGUAUUUCUUGAGAUGUGGAGAGGGAAGUGGAAUUCCUAGUUUAGCGGUGAAAUGCGUAGAUAUUAGGAAGAAUACCGGUGGCGAAGGCGACUUGCUGGACACAAACUGACGCUGAGGAACGAAAGCGUGGGUAGCAAACAGG